This 472-nucleotide ribosomal RNA is filed under the name uncultured bacterium. RNAcentral describes it as "bacterial SSU rRNA". It matches the Rfam family "Bacterial small subunit ribosomal RNA", at positions 53 to 507 of the family's 1533-position model. The record is from RNAcentral.
ACAUGCAAGUCGAGCGAGAAGCUAAUGAACGCGACUUCGGUCAAGUGAAUUAGUGGAAAGCGGCGGACGGGUGAGUAACGCGUGAGUAACCUGCCUUAUGGAGGGGGACAACAGUUAGAAAUGACUGCUAAUACCGCAUAACAUAUAUUUAACGCAUGUUAGAUAUAUCAAAGAUUUAUCGCCAUAAGAUGGACUCGCGUCUGAUUAGAUAGUUGGUGAGGUAAUGGCUCACCAAGUCGACGAUCAGUAGCCGAACUGAGAGGUUGAUCGGCCACAUUGGGACUGAGACACGGCCCAGACUCCUACGGGAGGCAGCAGUAGGGAAUUUUCGGCAAUGGGCGAAAGCCUGACCGAGCAAUGCCGCGUGAGUGAUGAAGGCCUUCGGGUUGUAAAGCUCUGUUAUAGGGGAAGAAAAAGUAGUGAAUGCUACAUAUUGACGGUACCCUAUUAGAAAGCCAUGGCUAACUACGUG